This 253-nucleotide ribosomal RNA is filed under the name uncultured bacterium. Its description in RNAcentral is "partial 16S ribosomal RNA". It matches the Rfam family "Bacterial small subunit ribosomal RNA", at positions 524 to 776 of the family's 1533-position model. The record is from RNAcentral.
UACGUAGGGUGCGAGCGUUGUCCGGAAUUAUUGGGCGUAAAGGGCUCGUAGGCGGUCUGUUGCGUCGGGAGUGAAAACUCAGGGCUUAACCCUGAGCCUGCUUCCGAUACGGGCAGACUAGAGGUAUGCAGGGGAGAACGGAAUUCCUGGUGUAGCGGUGGAAUGCGCAGAUAUCAGGAGGAACACCGGUGGCGAAGGCGGUUCUCUGGGCAUUACCUGACGCUGAGGAGCGAAAGUGUGGGGAGCGAACAGG